This 292-nucleotide ribosomal RNA is filed under the name uncultured bacterium. Its description in RNAcentral is "partial 16S ribosomal RNA". It matches the Rfam family "Bacterial small subunit ribosomal RNA", at positions 505 to 796 of the family's 1533-position model. The record is from RNAcentral.
GUGUCAGCAGCCGCGGUAAUACGUAGGGGGCGAGCGUUGUCCGGAUUUAUUGGGCGUAAAGCGCGCGCAGGCGGCCAGGAGAGCCCGGCGUGAAAGCCCCCAGCUCAACUGGGGGAGGCCGUUGGGGACCUUCAGGCUGGAGGCCGGUAGGGGAGAGUGGAAUUCCCGGUGUAGUGGUGGAAUGCGUAGAUAUCGGGAGGAACACCGGUGGCGAAGGCGGCUCUCUGGACCGGACCUGACGCUCAGGCGCGAAAGCGUGGGGAGCGAUCCGGAUUAGAUACCCUUGUAGUCC